Phodopus roborovskii (desert hamster) is the source of this 104-nucleotide small nuclear RNA. The record is from RefSeq and is a predicted model, not a curated record. NCBI's taxonomy places the organism in Eukaryota, Metazoa, Chordata, Mammalia, Rodentia, Cricetidae.
GUGUUUGCUUCAGCAGCACAUAUACUAAAGUUGGAAUGAUACAGAGAUUAGCAUGGCCUCUGUGCAAGGAUAAAACACAAAUUUGUUAAGCACUCGUAUUUUAA